Aquila chrysaetos chrysaetos is the source of this 1583-nucleotide long non-coding RNA. RefSeq lists it as uncharacterized. The record is from RefSeq and is a predicted model, not a curated record. Lineage: Eukaryota; Metazoa; Chordata; Aves; Accipitriformes; Accipitridae. The transcript has 3 exons.
CACAUCGCGCCUCCGUGGCCCUGCCGGCGCGGGGGGAGCGGGACGGCGGCGUGCAUCGGGGCGAUUACGGUAUCAGCGCGGCCCAGAGAGAGGCCGGAGGAUGCACGGUGGGAGCGGGGCUGGGGCUGGGGCCGGGGCGGCACGGCGCGGCCCGGGGUCCCGGGGGAGGCCGCGCCCGGCAUGAGGAGAGGCGCCACCUCCGCGCCGCCCACCGGGUGAGAGGGCGGCGGCUCCCCGGGCGCCCCGGUCUGCCUCCUGGCCGCCCGACCCCAGGCAGGCGUCCGGGCCGGCUCUGUCCCUGGAAGCUGCCCCGAAACCUGCCCGGGACUAGGACCCUGCCAGACACCCAAGGGAGCGCAGCGGAGCGCGGCGAAGCGCAGCGCUGGCUCCCCUGCGCUCCCUCACCUGAGCUCACCUCCAUUUCCGCAGAGCACACCUACGUCCUGCACGGAGCACGACGGCUCCUGGCCCAGCGCGGUGGCGGGACGUGCCCGCUCCCGGUUUGGCCAAGUCCCGGCCCGACCCGACCCUCUCGGCCUUGCCCGUGGCAGAAGAGCCUGAACACAACGCUGCUGCUACGAGCAGUGGCAUCGUUCAGAGGAUGAACGAUAAACCGGAGAAUCAACACUUAUUUGUUAAGGAAACGCGUUUCCAUUACACGUCUGCGGAGGAGCACCGUGAAGGCUGGGAGGAGGACAAUGACAGCACGCUGGAGCAAGACAGUCAUUGUUCAGUGCAGAACUCCUUCCAAAAAGCACUCGUCCAAGAUAGCAGGUUUUUUCCACAAGAAAAGAAAUAAAGGGAAUUUGACACAUAAUACAAAGUGAAAACCAGAACCUAGAUGGGGGAAGGGCGUGUGUGUGAAAAUCAUGUCACCGCAAUGAAUGUCAGAUAAAAAGGGGUCUGUCACAAAUCCUUCACUAAUCCAAUAAUGUGAAAACCUCUUGGUAUCACUGAGACAUAGCACACGCCAAAGGACCACCUAUAUGCCAGUACAUUGACAUGAAAGUGAUGGUAACUGAGAAGUCUACCUUGAAACAUACCCCUGGAAGACUGUGCUUACAGUGAACCUUUUUGACUAAACCUAGCUAAAGCCACCACUGAAGCCUAGGACUUAAAUGGAGCACUGCAUUUUUUAUUCAGCACCUUUGUUAAUGCAGUAGUAUCCUGCUUUACAGCUACAAGUACAUGACAGCCAUACAGCAAUUUAUUUUACUACAGCCCAACCAUCACCGUCUGUACACAAAACACUUUUACAAUAAAAUCACUAUGGUUUUCAUUAAGAGAAAGCCUACUCGAAUUUCAUUUCUUUGGACCUAAUCUAUAAUUAGUGUGGACAGACAGGUGCAAACCCUUCUCCUCUACAGAUGGCUACUGGAAAUGGUGCAAAAUAGCUCCUUCUGUUUAAACAACACACAGAUAACCUGCUCUGCUCUUAUCACUUACAAUUACCUCCAUUAUACUGAACUAAUGUUUACUUUAAUAAAAUGUCCACUGUUCUCUAAACGUUAUUUGGAAACUUCGAUAUCGAUGGCAGAAAAGAAAAAAAAUGAAGAUGGAAGUCAUUGUCUUUCAGAUGAAAA